This 403-nucleotide long non-coding RNA is filed under the name Chrysemys picta bellii (western painted turtle). Its description in RNAcentral is "lncRNA (ENSCPBG00000007643.1)". Lineage: Eukaryota; Metazoa; Chordata; Testudines; Emydidae. The record is from RNAcentral.
AGGACGAGGUGUUCUCGGAGCUGGUGAGACCCCUGCUGGCCAUGGUGCCCCUUGGCUACAGCGUGUCCCUGCUGCUGUUGGAGGCCCAUCAGGCCGGGACCAAGCUGCAGCCUCAGGGCACUGGGCAGCACCACAGCAUCAUCCAACAGGUGAUAGAAACCUUCUUCCAGGAGCCCAAGCUCCCAGGGGAUGGCAGGGACCAUCUGCAAACUGUCAGCUUUGUCCAGCUUUGUGCAGAUGGAAAUGCCCGGGACCUGCUCAGCCCCAGAAAUCAAGCCCUGCAUGUGCUGGAUGUCUCCCCGCUGGGUCUGAUGGUGGAAGAGGCAAGUGAAAUUGUGGUGUCCAACUCUACAGCUGCCUACAGCUUCUAUGUGAGGGGGCUGGAGGACAGUCCAGCAUUGUC